Molecule: transfer RNA, 36 nt
Filed under: Lactuca perennis
Lineage: Eukaryota; Viridiplantae; Streptophyta; Magnoliopsida; Asterales; Asteraceae
Description: partial tRNA-Leu
Source: RNAcentral
AAUCCGUCGAUUUCAAAAAUCGUGAGGGUUCAAGUC